Podarcis lilfordi (Lilford's wall lizard) is the source of this 78-nucleotide non-coding RNA. The record is from the annotation of a GenBank genome assembly. Lineage: Eukaryota; Metazoa; Chordata; Lepidosauria; Squamata; Lacertidae.
AUUUAGUUGUUUAAAUAUGGUGGUAGAACAUGAGACUGUUUAAUCUCAGGGUUGUGGGUUUGAGCCCCACAUUAGGCA